RNAcentral lists this long non-coding RNA (388 nucleotides) under Fragaria vesca (wild strawberry). Its description in RNAcentral is "long non-coding RNA (FVES_LNC005357)". The record is from RNAcentral. Lineage: Eukaryota; Viridiplantae; Streptophyta; Magnoliopsida; Rosales; Rosaceae.
UUUUUUGUCUUUUGGUUAUCGAGAAAUCUUUAAUCUUCUGAAGUUGCCUUCUCUAUCUCUGCCCCUCUUCCUUAACGGUUGUUCCACAUAUAAGUACUGUAAAUGUAGCAAAGGAGGAAACAUUUCUUCUGAAACUGGUCCAAACCGCGAAAUUGCUCUCGACUCGUCAAUUACUGAACCGAGAUAUCUAUUCCGUUCAGAUGGCAUGUUGCAAGUAAGCUAGCAAAUUUUUAUUGUCCAAUAUAUAUGAUCAUGUAAACAAUCCGUUGCAUCUUAGAGCAAAUAUUAUUAACAGAGCUGAGUAGCAAUGUUUUCUGGAGUGAUUACCUAGUAUUCUGCUUGUGUGUGUUAGGAACUGCCUUGGCGGGGUGCUGGUGUUGCAAUCCCA